This 350-nucleotide ribosomal RNA is filed under the name uncultured bacterium. RNAcentral's name for it is "bacterial SSU rRNA". It matches the Rfam family "Bacterial small subunit ribosomal RNA", at positions 358 to 706 of the family's 1533-position model. The record is from RNAcentral.
GGAAUAUUGGUCAAUGGGCGAGAGCCUGAACCAGCCAUGCCGCGUGCAGGAUGACGGCCUUCUGGGUUGUAAACUGCUUUUAUAUGGGAAGAAAAAGGUCUUGCGAGACAAAUUGCCGGUACCAUAUGAAUAAGCACCGGCUAACUCCGUGCCAGCAGCCGCGGUAAUACGGAGGGUGCAAGCGUUGUCCGGAUUUAUUGGGUUUAAAGGGUACGUAGGCGGAUUUUUAAGUCCGUGGUGAAAGCCUACAGCUUAACUGUAGAACUGCCAUGGAUACUGGGAAUCUUGAAUUCAGUUGAGGUAAGCGGAAUUUAUGACGUAGCGGUGAAAUGCAUAGAUAUCAUAAAGAA